This 389-nucleotide long non-coding RNA is filed under the name Androctonus crassicauda. Lineage: Eukaryota; Metazoa; Arthropoda; Arachnida; Scorpiones; Buthidae. The record is from RNAcentral.
AGGAUCAACUGAAAAUAAAAAGUAUACAUCAAUAUCAAACUAACAUAAAUGUAGUCACAUCCAACAUAUAUCAUUGAUAAUUUGGUGUACUUCCUAGAGGAGAUGAUAACUGUGAUGGAUCAGACAUCUGAGGAUCAACUGAAAAUAAAAAGUUUACAAAUUAAAAUCUCUGUUAAAUUUUGUUUUUCAUUAUUUUUAAUAUUGACGCUGAUGUGGGUCACACACGACUGUCCUGUGAGGCGGCAUGCAUCAUGGCAGGUCAUACAAUCUGACCCACCAGUGAUGCAUGCCAGCAUCAUGUUAAGAAAACAGCAAUAAGAUCAUGUGGUGGUGGUGAUAAAUCUCUCUCAACUUGAAAUGAGAUGCAAUCUCUAAUUUUUAAAUCUGGC